AUAAAGAAAAUAAAAAAUUGCCCAUUAACCAUUGUCUACUGAAACAGAAGGCUAAAGUGAAAGAAUGCAAAAGCACAAAACACUGUUUAGGGUCAGCCCUCUCUCUAGAAAUCAGUUCUCUCCUCGACAAAAAUUUCACCCAAAUCAAAUCCCUCAAAUCAAAAUGUGAAUCACAGGUAUGUUUAAAUCCUAAUUUUUCAUUUUUUGGGGAGAAAGAAGUUCCUCCAUUUUAAUAUCGAUUUCGUGAAUUCAAAAUGUGAAUCUCAGGUAUGUUUAAAUCCUAAUUUUUCAUUUUUUGAGGAGAAAGAAGUUCCUCCAUUUUAAUAUCGAUUUCGUGAAGUUCCUCCGUUCAAAUCCCUAAUCCGACUUGAAUAAAAGAAACGAUUCUAUCCAUAAUCGAUUUCACCUUUCUUUCUUCCCGUUACUGUCCCAUAUCGAACUAAAACCCAUAAAGAUUUGUAUAAGAUAUAUUUACAUUUGGGUAUUUUUGUAUAAUGGUUCUGUUAGACGUGUGGUUAGACCUGCCAUGUUGUAUGGGGUGGAGUGUUGGCCAGCGAAGAACUCUCAUGUUAGAGAAUGAAGGUUGCGGAGAUAAGGAUGCUCGGGUGGAUGUGCGGGCUCACCAGGUUAGAUAAGAUUAAGAAUGAAGUUAUUCGAGAGAAGUUGGGGGUGGCCCCGGUGGAUGAGAAGAUGCGAGAAGCGAGUCUGAGGUGGUUUGGGCAUGUGCGGAGGGAGGCCUAAGAGGUAGGUGAUUAGGCAUGACAUAGCUAGAAUGCGGGUUUACGAGGACAUGACCCUUGAUAGGAAAGUCUGGAGGUCUAGUAUCAGGGUUGUAGGAUAGGGGCUCCUAGCGUUUUUCAUACUCCUCACCCGGAGUUGGGUGAGGCUUGGCAGGGCUAUUCAUAGAUGAUUUGUGUAUUGGAUUAUCUCCCUUAUGGUAGUUAUUUAUGGUAGGUAGUGUCUGAUAUUAUUGCAUGCUAUUUUAUUUAUGGUUCUUAUGUUUAGAUAAUUAUUUACGCUAUUUCUGGUGGAUUUACUAAUGCUCUAUUAUUUUCGUUUUUGUUUUUCUUUUCCUUCACUGAGCCGAGGGUCGAUGUUUCUGCUGGAGUUACUAAAGUUCUUUUGUUUUUGUUUUUGUUUUUCUUUCCCUUAACUGAGUCGAGGGUCGAGUGGAGACAGCCUCUCUGCCCUUUCGGGUAGGGUAAGGCCCGUUUACAUAUUACCCUCCCCAGACCCCACUUUGUGGGACUAUACUGGGUAGUUGUUGUUGUUGUUGUUGGUUCUGUUAGACAAAAGUUUCAACAUGUAAUUAGGAUAAUUAUUUUUUCAGCAAUUUCACUUUUGUCUUCUCAGAUUUCAUCCCGAGUUUUUCUGAGUCAUUUGAUAAUCUAAAGGAAUACCUAACAGAUCACACAGAAAGAAUCAUUUGAAGCGUAUUUAGUCUUGUUAUUUUCGAUUCCCGGUUUUGACAGAAUCUCAGCUGUCUCUUUUCUUGGGUAAGUUAAAAUCUUCUUCUUGAGAGACGUUUUGGAUGUCGGCAUUCUAUUCAGUUUGAAUUAUUAUAGGAGCUUCAUAGGUUCUUUCAGUUAUGUCCAUGUCGCAAUAGUCCGUGUAACUCCUUAAAUUAUAUAUGGAAUAGUACAUAUAUAUGCUUUUAAUAUGACUUACUCUCCGUCCGAUGUGUAUAAUUUACAUACUGUGAAAGUCAGGUAGAACUAACACCCUCCAAAGCUGCUACAAUUUGAUGAUGCUUGGAUGGUAUAAAAGCAGGAACAUUUGGAACCUUCUCGGCUUGUACCUUUACUGCCUCAUUCUUUGAUGGAAGAGUUUCUGAAAAUUGAGCUGCCCCAUUGUCACAAGUGCGUUUAACAACAAUUGCAUGUGUCGCACCUUGUUGAUCCUUAGAGCUACUUAACUCGUUUUUAGCAUCCAGCAAUUGCCUAAGAUCUUCUUGAAACUUCUCUACAGAAAUUUUAUCGCCGCGAUACUCGACUUCCCCGUUCCCUACACAUUCUUGAUGAAGUGAUCAAGACAAUCGAUCUGAAUUCUUUACCUACCAAUGAUAAUGAUCAAGGACGGAUACUCUUGGUGCGUGCUUCUUCCUUCUCUCCAAGAGUUGUGUAGAUUACUUAAUAAGCUAACAGUUUGCUGCUAUAUUCUGGACGUAGGAGCAUUUCCCUGUUAUAGAUAUGAAAUGGUAACAAGUGAUCAACUGCUGUUGCUUUUAACUUUGACAUUCGAGUACUUGUCUUUUUCUUUUCUUUUUCCCCUUUACAAUAAUUAACUAGUUCUCAAGCUUACAACAUAACAAGGUGUGCUAUCUACAACCCGAUAGAGACCAACUAUUUAAAAUGCAUCAGGCCUUCAUCAUGAUACAAUUAUUGUAGCAUAUCGACUUUAAGAUUUCUUAAAAAACAUGUGCUAAAAAAUGGAAGUAGGAGUUUUGUAACGUGGAGUAAUCAAGUCUAUAUAUUUGUGGAAUGGUACAUCAGUCAUACGUGGGCUUGAUCUUAUAAUCUUUGGGAGCCCACUGUGGAUUCUGUUUGUGAGUUUGAAGCUAUAGGUUUUAGUCACUAGAACUAGAAUUCUUUUACCAAGUGUUUAUUAUGGGGUCAUUAAAUAUCUGAUAGUAGUUCAAAUAUUCUAUUUCUUAUCUUUAUACUUUUUUUUGGGGACCAGGCAUGUGACUUUUCUGUGUGGAGGAGGAGGGGUAUAUGCUCUUGGAGCUGUUGCUGCUAACUAUAGUAGGGACCAACACAAGAGAGAGAGCAGGGGGGCUAUAUGCUCUUGGAGCUGUUGCUGCUAACUAUAGUAGGGACCAACACAAGAGAGAGUUGUAUUUGAAACAUUUCUUUGAGGUAUCAGCAUCCCUGUUGUGAUUUCCUUGAGGCAACCAUACUUGGUUAUAUGAAAUAAUGUACUUCUUCAACUAUUGUGGGGAUUCAUAUAAGUUGUUUCACUAAAUAUGGGUAUCUGCAUACAUCGAGUAAUACUAUGUGAUUAUAGGUACCUUCCCUUGAUCGACAACCAGGAAAAAGAGAUGUGAUCUGUCUAUUUCAACAACUAAGCACGUGAAGCUAAUGUUAGGGACCUGUAAUUUGAUACAAAUUGUUUUGAGACACGUUGGGCCUGAAUAUGGGUAGCUUGUCUAAUUUAUCUAAAAGACCAAAAGUUUGUGAACGGUGUCAUGUCUUACUUGUUGAGGAGUGUUCAUUCUGUUGAAUAUUUUCUUAGCCUAUGAUGAGCAUUUAGCUUGGAAACCCGUUAAUUGUUGCUUAGGGUCAUUUACUUUUACCUAUAAAGCAAAGGUACUAUUUUGUUUCAUGAGAAACCUGUUAAUUGUUGCUUAUGGUCAGUUACUUUUACCUAUAAAGCAAAGGUACUAUUUUCAUGAAAUUCGUCAGAAGGAGUUUAUCUACUCUGAAAAUUUUCAUUGAACUACCAGAUUACCUCACUGGCCACUUAUAGUGGAAAAUUUAAAGUACAGAUCUGU
RNAcentral lists this long non-coding RNA (3493 nucleotides) under Nicotiana benthamiana. RNAcentral describes it as "long non-coding RNA (NBEN_LNC021492)". Lineage: Eukaryota; Viridiplantae; Streptophyta; Magnoliopsida; Solanales; Solanaceae. The record is from RNAcentral.